UCUAGCAGUAGUCAGCUGUCCAGAUAGCCCCAGGCCUGUGAUGGUGUUACACUGCCGGAAGAGGGCUGUCCUGUCGUGUUCCUCCAGUGGCCUCCGUCACUGUUCUGGUGGCGUCUGCUGCUGGUGGAAGGCAGAGCUGUGUUUCCUUGACAGUGUGCUGAGUGCUCACUUUGGCCACUUAGUUCUAGUCCAGGAGCAGACACA
This is a small nucleolar RNA of Ailuropoda melanoleuca (giant panda), 204 nucleotides long. Its record names the gene SNORA74. It matches the Rfam family "Small nucleolar RNA SNORA74". From Rfam's summary of the family: U19 belongs to the H/ACA class of snoRNAs. snoRNAs bind a number of proteins (including dyskerin, Gar1p and Nop10p in the case of the H/ACA class) to form snoRNP complexes. This class are thought to guide the sites of modification of uridines to pseudouridines by forming direct base pairing interactions with substrate RNAs. The record is from Ensembl. Lineage: Eukaryota; Metazoa; Chordata; Mammalia; Carnivora; Ursidae.